AUUCAUUUAGUAUAAAAAGUAUACUUAAUUUCCAAUUAAGGGGUUUAAAAAUUAAAAUGAAUA
RNAcentral lists this transfer RNA (63 nucleotides) under Koreocerus koreanus. RNAcentral describes it as "tRNA-Gly". The record is from RNAcentral. Lineage: Eukaryota; Metazoa; Arthropoda; Insecta; Hemiptera; Cicadellidae.